GACCCAGUGGCGGAUGGUCCGCAUCUCCGUCUCUUUACAGCAUUUCGAGGGAAUCCUCUGUAAGGAGAAGUCGCCCGUUCGAUUCGGGCCUGGGUCA
Molecule: non-coding RNA, 97 nt
Organism: Mycena leptocephala
Lineage: Eukaryota; Fungi; Basidiomycota; Agaricomycetes; Agaricales; Mycenaceae
Source: the annotation of a GenBank genome assembly